UAAACUGCAGUGUACACUCAUUGACCCAGAGACGCUACAACUCCACGCACAUGUGAUUGGCUGGGCUUCCGAGCUGCUCCCCUAAUGGAUCGUUGACUCCACCUACCAGAAUUCUCUGCUCUCUUUAUACUCUGAUCCAAGAACUCCCUUGUCAGGAUCCAAAGCCUGAUUGGCUGAUUGCUCAGGGGCUGACAUCCCUGCUUAAUUUUCUCCAGAUCUGUAGCGCCGCCCCCUCUGCUCUAGUGCAGGCUUCUUCACCUGGAACGCCUGCCUCAUACAGUUGAUCGUUCGGGGCUUCGGGCUACGUCGGGUCCGCAGUCGAGUUUUCCACCAUGCCGCCGCCACUCCCGGUGAUGCCAUCCGCGCCGCCGGUGGGGAUGUUGAGCAGUAGCAGCAGCAAGGUUCCGAGGGGGUGGCUUCUGGGUGGUGGUGACAAAGUGGUACACAACGUUGACUCCAGGCUGCCUGGAGAGGCUCAGCCACCACAGCUGGAGGCGACGCCGAUCACCAAGUACACGUCGGACCCUGGCCUCGUGUUGGGUAGGCAGAUCACUGUAAACCGGAAGUACAUCCUGUAUGCGCUCAAGCUGGGGAACAUCCGUGUGCUAAAUAUCAACACGGCGCUUCGCUCACUCCUCCGUGGCCAUACACAGAGAGUCACGGACAUGGCUUUCUUUUCUGAGGACGUACAUCGUUUAGCAAGUGCCAGUGUAGAUGGGCGGAUAUACGUGUGGAAUAUUGAUGAGGGGCCCGAUGAGGAAAGUAGACCACAAAUUACAGGAAAGAUAGAAAUUGCCAUACAGAUUGUAGGUCACGCUGAAUCUUACCACCCAAGAAUCUGUUGGCACUCUCAUAAGCAAGAACUUCUGUAUGUUGGAAUAAAAAAUUGUGUCUUAAGAAUAGAUACGACUAAAGUGGGAAGAGGAAGAGACUUUAGCGUGGAAGAACCUAUUAAAUGUCAUCUUGACGAGAUGAUUGAUGGUGUGUGCUUAGUUGGUAAGCACGAUGGUGAUGUGACAGAUUUGUCCAUAUCUCACUGGAUGACCACCCGGCUGGCUUCAGGAUCAAAAGAUGGCAUGGUAAAGAUCUGGGAUGAUCGCAAGUCAGUGCCUCUAUCAGUUCUGAAGCCACAUGAUGGCCAAGCUGUUUACUCAGUGGCCUUUCUUACAGCACCUGACCGCCCCAAUCACAUAAAUCUUAUCACAUCAGGUCCUCUAAGCCAAGAAAUUAAAAUUUGGGCUUCUACCAAUGAAGAAGGUUGGUUGUUGCCAAGUGAUUCUGAGUCUUGGAAUUGUACCCAGACCUUAGAACUUGUUAGUUCUCUGGAAUCUAGGGUCGAGGAGGCAUUUUUCAACCAAGUCGCAGUGCUACCUCAAGCAAGCAUUAUUUUACUUGCAAAUGCUAAAAAGAAUGCUAUUUAUGCGGUGCAUGUCGAGUAUGAUUUGGAUCCUGCUUCUACUCACUUGGACUAUAUAGCAGAUUUUACAGUCGGAAUGCCUAUUUUAAGUCUGAUUGGCAUACAUGAAAGCCAACCUGAUGGUGAGCAGGUUGUUCAGCUCUAUUGUAUCCAAACAAUGGCCAUACAGCUGUAUGGGCUGGAGUUAUCACUUUGUUCUCCCCCAUCUGAUAUUACUGGACUUGGAAGUUACCCUACAGAAGUUGCUGAUAUGCAAGGAAUGCUGCAACAGGCUGUGCAAAGAUUCCAGGAACUGUUCUCCCAAACAAAAUUCAAGGAAGCAGUGGAGCUGGCUGUAGAAUUCCCUCAGGGUCUUCUGCGAACUCCUGAGACUGUUGCAAAAUUGAAGAGUGCUCCUCUUCAACUUGGGCAAGUGUCUCCACUCCUGCACUACUUUGCCACAUUGCUAACUCAAGGGAAGCUCAAUGCUUACGAGUCUCUUGAGUUAUCUCGACUUGCUAUUAAUCAGAACGGAAAGAGCCUUCUGGAAGGUUGGUUGGCGGAUGACAAGUUAGAGUGCAGUGUAGAGCUAGGAAAUCUUGUUAAGACAGUAGACGAUGAUCUUGCACUGAAGAUAUACAUAAGGGCUACUACUUCCAGUUCUGCACUCAAGGGACCAGGAGAAAUAAACUAUAAGGAUUACGAUGGUGAAGGGUCAUCUAUCUUUCCUAGCAACAUAACCCCUGGGCCUUCUUCAGAAAUGCCAGACCUAGCAAGUGAAAUUGAAGCCCUGGAGCACAUAUUUAGUGAUGCAAGUGUACAGCCGACAAAGCUGUCUUAUGCACUUAUAAAAUCUGUAACAAAUAAUUUCUCUAAAGUGAUUGGUCGUGGUGGAUUUGCGGUUGUUUACCAGGGAGUUCUUCGAAACGGGAAGAUUGCUCUGAAAAAGCUUUCCUUAUCUAAUGGUUUUUCUGAUGAGCUAUUUGUGGAUGAGAUUGAGUGUUUAACAAAGGCAAAGCACAAUAAUGUAGUAAGGUAUCUAGGCUAUUGUGCAGAUACACAAGGGGAAUUGAUGGAAUUCAACGGAAGGUGUGUGAUAGCAGAGGUACCAAAAAGGCUGCUCUGCUUUGAGUUUGUCCCAAAUGGAAGCCUUCACCGUUAUCUUAAAGGGAAGCUUUGUGGAGAUGAAUGGCAAGUACGUUAUAAAAUGAUUAAGGGGAUCUGUCAGGGUUUGCAGUAUCUUCACAAAAUCCGCAUCAAUCAUUUGGAUCUAAAGCCUGGAAAUAUUCUGUUGGAUGUUGGCAUGGAGCCAAAAAUUGCAGACUUCGGUUUGUCAAGAUGCUUUGAUGAAGAACAAUCCAGAGUAUUUACUAAACACAUUUAUGGAACACGGGGAUAUAUUGCACCAGAAAUCAUAAACAAUGGAGAAAUAUCAUUCAAGUCAGAUAUAUUCGCUUUGGGCAUUAUCAUCAUAAAGCUAUUAACGGGGCACAACGACUAUGAUAUUGAAAAUUGGCAUAAAUCAUUAAAUGCGGACUGCCCACAAGUGAGAAGAUGCAUUGAAAUAGCUCAAGCAUGUGUGGACGAUGACCAGCAUAAAAGAUUUGCUAUAGACGAGAUAAUUCACAAGCUGGAUGAGCUAGAGACCAUUGUGGACUCUCCAGCUAUCAGUUAAUCAAUUGAGAAUGGACAUGGUUCCUCUAUAUACCAGGUAUGAUCUUUCGAAGGCAGAGAUACAAUUCAGAUUUACAAUUUACAAAUUAACAAAUAGGUUUGCUCUGGCAUAGAAGUUAUCCCUAGAACGGGGAGUGCAAGCAAAGAGGCAGGGUUGCAAGGAGCAGAGCAGAUUCAGACCUGCUUGGUGCAGCGGUCCUGCAGGUUGUGGCGCCGAGCUGAUCUGGGCGCAUUUCAGGUGUUGGUGCUGUUUGCGUUAGAUCACGUCGACCGCAGGGUGCCUAAAAAAUUGAAACAUUCUUCAGUUUCUGAAUGAUGAAAUUGGGACGUUUGCUCCUCCUCCUAUGAAAGAAGAAUCUGUCGAUGGCUCGAUAUUGUCCAUGAUCACCACUGGGAAAGCUCCGAGGAUCGCUGAGGAUUCACGAUGCACUCACUCCAGUUGAAACUAAAUGUGUAGAUCAUCCUUUUUCAUGCUAGUCUCUUGGGUUAAAGAAAGAAUGUAAUCAAGGGAAGCAAAAUGGCUCCAGGGAGCACAUGCUUCUGGGAUGAUCGCUGAAAUAAAAGUCAGUUUCAGGCACCAAAAUACCAAGCACGGAAGCUGAUUGCACUAAAAUGAACUACUGGCUCAGAUAGUCACCUUUAAAGUGUAUAUAUAUGGACCAAAGUUAAGGGAGCUUAACUGCCAACACAUUGUACUCUUUAUUAGUCGAACAGACCGAUACAUAAAACGAACAUUAGUUUCA
This is an RNA transcript of Brachypodium distachyon (stiff brome), 3813 nucleotides long. It is a transcript of the gene named enhancer of mRNA-decapping protein 4, with no coding region annotated. The transcript has 17 exons. Lineage: Eukaryota; Viridiplantae; Streptophyta; Magnoliopsida; Poales; Poaceae. The record is from RefSeq and is a predicted model, not a curated record.